Molecule: ribosomal RNA, 685 nt
Filed under: uncultured bacterium
Lineage: Bacteria
Description: bacterial SSU rRNA
Rfam family: Bacterial small subunit ribosomal RNA
Source: RNAcentral
AACGCUAGCUACAGGCUUAACACAUGCAAGUCGAGGGGUAGCAGGGUAGCAAUACCGCUGACGACCGGCGCACGGGUGAGUAACACGUAUCCAACCUGCCGAUAACUCCGGGAUAGCCUUUCGAAAGAAAGAUUAAUACCGGAUAGUAUACGAAUAUCGCAUGAUAUUUUUAUUAAAGAAUUUCGGUUAUCGAUGGGGAUGCGUUCCAUUAGUUUGUUGGCGGGGUAACGGCCCACCAAGACUACGAUGGAUAGGGGUUCUGAGAGGAAGGUCCCCCACAUUGGAACUGAGACACGGUCCAAACUCCUACGGGAGGCAGCAGUGAGGAAUAUUGGUCAAUGGGCGCAGGCCUGAACCAGCCAAGUAGCGUGAAGGAUGACUGCCCUAUGGGUUGUAAACUUCUUUUAUAAAGGAAUAAAGUCGGGUAUGUAUACCCGUUUGCAUGUACUUUAUGAAUAAGGAUCGGCUAACUCCGUGCCAGCAGCCGCGGUAGUACGGAGGAUCCGAGCGUUAUCCGGAUUUAUUGGGUUUAAAGGGAGCGUAGGUGGAUUGUUAAGUCAGUUGUGAAAGUUUGCGGCUCAACCGUAAAAUUGCAGUUGAAACUGGCAGUCUUGAGUACAGUAGAGGUGGGCGGAAUUCGUGGUGUAGCGGUGAAAUGCUUAGAUAUCACGAAGAACUCCGAUUG